RNAcentral lists this ribosomal RNA (445 nucleotides) under uncultured bacterium. Its description in RNAcentral is "bacterial SSU rRNA". It matches the Rfam family "Bacterial small subunit ribosomal RNA", at positions 331 to 793 of the family's 1533-position model. The record is from RNAcentral.
CCAGACUCCUACGGGAGGCAGCCGUGGGGACUCUUGCACAAUGGGGGACCCCCUGAUGCAGCGACGCCGCGUGCGCGAUGAAGUAUUUCGGUAUGUAAAGCUCUAUCAGCAGGGAAGACAAUGACGGUACCUGACUAAGAAGCCCCGGCUAACUACGUGCCAGCAGCCGCGGUCCUACGGAGGGUGCAAGCGUUACUCGGAAUCACGGGGCGUCAAGAGCGCGGAGGCGGGAUAGCAAGUCAGAUGUGAAAGCCGAUGGCUGAACCAGAGAACGGCAGGGGAAACGGGUAGGCGAGAGGAGGGGAGAGGUAGGGGGAAUGCUUGGGGGAGGGGUAAAAGCCGGAGAGAGCAAGAGGAAGACUCAGGGCGAAGGCGACCGGCGAGAACAGAACUGACGCGGAGGCGCGAAAGCGGGGGGAGCAAACAGGAGGAGAGACCCGGGUAC